This 89-nucleotide microRNA precursor is filed under the name Cajanus cajan (pigeon pea). RNAcentral's name for it is "miRNA gene-KK1_046842". The record is from RNAcentral. Lineage: Eukaryota; Viridiplantae; Streptophyta; Magnoliopsida; Fabales; Fabaceae.
UUAAAUAACCGAUUUUAAAAGUAAUACUUUUAAAAUUGGUCAUAAAAUAACCGAUCUUAAAAGUGUCACUUUUAAGAUCGGUUCUUUUG